RNAcentral lists this ribosomal RNA (515 nucleotides) under uncultured bacterium. RNAcentral describes it as "bacterial SSU rRNA". It matches the Rfam family "Bacterial small subunit ribosomal RNA", at positions 8 to 518 of the family's 1533-position model. The record is from RNAcentral.
AGAGUUGAUCCUGGCUCAGGAUGAACGCUAGCGACAGGCUAACACAUGCAAGUCGAGGGGCAGCACGGAGUAGCAAUACUUGGUGGCGACCGGCGCACGGGUGAGUAACGCGUAUGCAACCUACCUAUCAGGAGGGGAAUAACCCGGCGAAAGUCGGACUAAUACCGCAUAAAACAGGGGCACCGCAUGGUGAUAUUUGUUAAAGAAAUUCGCUGAUAGAUGGGCAUGCGUUCCAUUAGGUAGUUGGUGAGGUAACGGCUCACCAAGCCGACGAUGGAUAGGGGAACUGAGAGGUUGGUCCCCCACACUGGUACUGAGACACGGACCAGACUCCUACGGGAGGCAGCAGUGAGGAAUAUUGGUCAAUGGGCGGGAGCCUGAACCAGCCAAGUCGCGUGAAGGAAGAAGGAUCUAUGGUUCGUAAACUUCUUUUGCAGGGGAAUAAAGUGCAGGACGUGUCCUGUUUUGUAUGUACCCUGAGAAUAAGGAUCGGCUAACUCCGUGCCAGCCGCCGC